GAGACAGCAGUAGCCGCGGUAAUACGAAGGGGGCUAGCGUUGUUCGGAAUUACUGGGCGUAAAGCGCACGUAGGCGGAUAUUUAAGUCAGGGGUGAAAUCCCGCAGCUCAACUGCGGAACUGCCUUUGAUACUGGGUAUCUUGAGUAUGGAAGAGGUUAGUGGAAUUGCGAGUGUAGAGGUGAAAUUCGUAGAUAUUCGCAGGAACACCAGUGGCGAAGGCGGCUAACUGGUCCAUAACUGACGCUGAGGUGCGAAAGCGUGGGGAGCAAACAGGAUUAGAUACCCCUGUAGUCCCUGUCUCUUAUAC
This 308-nucleotide ribosomal RNA is filed under the name uncultured bacterium. RNAcentral describes it as "partial 16S ribosomal RNA". It matches the Rfam family "Bacterial small subunit ribosomal RNA", at positions 505 to 807 of the family's 1533-position model. The record is from RNAcentral.